CCAAACACUUGUUUAAACUAUUCCGAAGCACUCAGAACAUUUCACGGACCUCUCCAAAUCGUCCAUUACCACACUUCGGUCAAUUUGACUAAAGUUCGGUAUGGCGCACCGAGGAUUCAGUACACUACAAUCAGCGCAUUUGGUUUAAUGCAGUAAUGUAAUGCUAGAUUACAGUAUUUAUAACAUUACUACGUUUGGUUCUGUCUAUAAAAUUCAGUAAUCUAGACAAUAAAAUGUAGUCUAUUCCAAAAUUGCCCUUAUCCAUAUUUCACAAACAUUUUUUACUAUUUACAAAUAAUAUUUUUUUACUAAAUUUUAUUUUAAAUAAUUUAAUUUUUUUAAAUUUUAAUUUGAACAAAAAUAAAAAUUUAAUAUUUUAAUUUAAAAUAUAAAUAUGAAAUUUAUAAAUUUAAAAUCUAAAAUUUAAAUAUAAAUAUAAAAAUAAAAUUAAAAAUUAAAAAUUUAAAUUUAAAAUUCAGAAUGUAAAAUACAAAUUUGAAUUUUAAAAUUUAAAAUUUGAAAUUUAAAAUUUAAAAUUUAAAAUUUGAAAUUUGAAUUUGAGGCUUAAAAAUUUAAAAUUUAAAAUGUGAAAAUUUAAAAUUAAAAUUUUAAAUUAAAUUUUUUAAAAUGCCGUAUUGAAAGGGUUUCGGAAGUUAGAGGUGUAAAAUUGUCAUUUUACAUAGUAUGCAGUGUUACCGCCUUUCAGUAAUCCAAGAUACAUACUUCCUCCUCGGUAAUAUUUUUGGUGUAAUCCUGCACCAUUUGUAAUGCUACAUUAUUGACUCGAUUACAUACCGGAUGAACCAAACACAGUAAUCCUGACAAGAUUGCCUGUAAGCCUACCAGGAUAACUCGAAUCAAACACACCUAAAGAGAAAUCCAAAGAUCUUCAGUGCCCAUUUGAACCAUUGACCUAAAAUAUUUAAGCCUAGUUACUAUUGUUACGAUCC
RNAcentral lists this long non-coding RNA (950 nucleotides) under Ananas comosus (pineapple). RNAcentral's name for it is "long non-coding RNA (ACOM_LNC009086)". The record is from RNAcentral. Lineage: Eukaryota; Viridiplantae; Streptophyta; Magnoliopsida; Poales; Bromeliaceae.